CGGUGUUGCGUCUUUUGUCUUUAAAAUGAGCUGCUUGUAAUGCGUUAAUACUCCUUUCUACUGCAGUUUUUUAGAAAGAUAUUAUGUUAGCUAUGGAGAACUGCAAAUAUGUUGUUACUGUUCUCAAUAACAUUGCUGGCAUGAAUUUAUCAGCUGUUAUCGACAAAGGUCAUGGGGAAAAGGUGUGAUUGACAACUUUCUGGACAAGGACACGUUUUGAAAUCAGUGGAACACAACGGACCAAAUAAGCUGUGUAAACUAAACAGAAACAACACAGGGUGUCUUAUAAAAGGGGUUGCAGUCUGCCAUUAAGCUUUCAUUAAUGUAUACAGCAUUAAAUCAGUAGAACACGCCUGACUAAUCCACAAGUCAUACAGUCAUCAAAAGAGAGCUGGCCCAAGCAAAAGAAGGCAGCAGCGCAGCCAUCAACUACAUGCACCAUUUCUUCACCAACUACGGAGUUGGUAAAACACUGCUGACCUGAAUUGUAAUAACUGCAGUGGCCAAAACAAGAACAAGUUUGUGCUCUGGUAUUUUGCCUGGUGGACCAUGCACAAGCUCCACCACAGUCUGGACCUUCACUUCCUGAUCACAGGCCACACCAAGUUUGCCCCUGACUUUGCUUCGGCCUCAUCAAGCAGCGCUUCAGAAAGACCAGAGUGUACACUUUGUUAGAGAUUGCUGGGGUUGUGAAGGACAGCACUGUGACGGGUCAACAUCCCACAGCUGGUUGGACUGGAGGAUGGUACGGUGCUGGUGGAAAGCCAUGGCUGGCAACAACACCUGACUCCCUACUUCAGGCCUCUGCCACAGAUCAAGCAGUGCCAGCCCAUCAGCUUCGAUGCUCUGGAGCCUGGUGUUGUUGGAGCGUUCGGACUGUCGGGACCAGGUUUCAGCUGCUGCGCAACGCUGACAUCCUUCCUCCCAUAGAUGGUCUGCCUGUAAAAGCACCACCUGGACUGGACACAGCUAGACAAUAUUUUUGACAAGAUCAGGGAGUUGUGCGACGAAGAGGCUAUAGACAUCACAUGCUCUACACUAAAGUCAAGGGUAGGACAGAAACAGGUUCUCCGAAUAUUCCCCUGUUCAUGCAUGGUUUGGACGGACCAGUCAUCAGCAGUGCCUCUAUUCACAUGACUCUCUCCUAACACUCACGCCAUAUGUUGCUGAUAUUUUUCUUUAUCCUGCUGCUCAGCCACUUUACCCCUGAUUGUAUGCAUAUAACAACCUCGUCUAUCACUAUUGUUAUUGAUGUUGUUCUUGUACAUACUGUAUAUUUUAUUUAUAUUGACACUAUUUCUGAUAUUACUACUAUGCAAGUAACCAUUUGGCUUUGGCUGUACCAUUUACACGUUCUGUAGAGACCAUCCACUCAGCAAGACUUAGCAAAAUAUUUGAUAUAUAAAAUGAAUAUUGAUGUGUGGUCGUAACAUGAUUUUGUGACAUAACACAACAAUAUCAUGUGUUCGUAUCACGUGUCCACCACUUAAAUAUAUGGCGCAUGCAUCUGUUUUAUAUACUGUACAUGUGCACCUCACUCAGGUUUCAACUCAGGCAUGCCCUUAACUUAUGUAUGGUAUACUAUGUGAUAAGUGCAUGUGUAACAGUACAUAAAGUAUGCUAAUGUAC
This is a long non-coding RNA of Oncorhynchus mykiss (rainbow trout), 1629 nucleotides long. RefSeq lists it as uncharacterized. The record is from RefSeq and is a predicted model, not a curated record. Lineage: Eukaryota; Metazoa; Chordata; Actinopteri; Salmoniformes; Salmonidae.